Molecule: unclassified non-coding RNA, 421 nt
Filed under: Hevea brasiliensis (rubber tree)
Lineage: Eukaryota; Viridiplantae; Streptophyta; Magnoliopsida; Malpighiales; Euphorbiaceae
Source: RNAcentral
GAUCAUCAGGCACUUUGUACAUAUCAGCUGUUAUUUCUGUCAACCAUAAACCUGGAAAUAUCAUAUCUAAAUUCUUUUGAACCAAUCUGGGUCGUUUCUUGGGAAGACGAGGGGGUCGAUGUCCGGCCAUGGCCAUGAAAUCUUCAUCGAUUUCUCGUCGGGAAAGAGGAACGGAAAACUUGACCUUUUGUUUCUUCUCGCCGACUGAAGCAGCUCCGGCAGAUGGAGCAUUUGUUCUGUUAGUAUCAAUCUUUAACCCACCUUUCGAUCCACCACCAUUUCCACCGGCAACAGCACCGGCGCCGGCGACGAAUCCAUUAGGCUCCUUACAAGCAGCUCGGCGAGUCCUUAAGUUCCAUGGACGAGAUAAAUCAGCAGCAGCGUCAGAUGCAGCUCCAGUCAUAGUUGUCGCCGGUGCCGG